CGGACCGGCGCACGGGUGAGUAACACGUAUGCAACCUGCCCUCUUCAGGGGGACGAACCUUCCGAAAGGGAGGCUAAUCCCGCGUAUAUCGGUUUCGGGCAUCCGAGAUCGAGGAAAGAUUCAUCGGAAGAGGAUGGGCAUGCGGCGCAUUAGCUAGACGGCGGGGUAACGGCCCACCGUGGCGACGAUGCGUAGGGGUUCUGAGAGGAAGGUCCCCCACACUGGUACUGAGACACGGACCAGACUCCUACGGGAGGCAGCAG
Molecule: ribosomal RNA, 263 nt
Filed under: uncultured bacterium
Lineage: Bacteria
Description: partial 16S ribosomal RNA
Rfam family: Bacterial small subunit ribosomal RNA
Source: RNAcentral